CUGGCGUUGGUAGUGUUUUUUUUCUCUUUAGCUGAAGUAAGAAGCGCGGAAGUAAUAUAAAUCUAUUGCAUUGUCACUUUAUUCAACGAGUCGUCAAGCAGGUGCAUGCCCAUCAGCCCAUCGACGUGUCGUUUCACCUGGUCUGCAGUAAGCAACGUGUCUGUUAGAGGCGUGCGUGCGAUGUCGCACUGAUCGAUGUCCUUGGUUUGCGCUUGU
This 216-nucleotide long non-coding RNA is filed under the name Brachypodium distachyon (stiff brome). RNAcentral describes it as "long non-coding RNA (BDIS_LNC001748)". Lineage: Eukaryota; Viridiplantae; Streptophyta; Magnoliopsida; Poales; Poaceae. The record is from RNAcentral.